Magnolia sinica is the source of this 2225-nucleotide long non-coding RNA. RefSeq lists it as uncharacterized. The record is from RefSeq and is a predicted model, not a curated record. The transcript has 2 exons. Lineage: Eukaryota; Viridiplantae; Streptophyta; Magnoliopsida; Magnoliales; Magnoliaceae.
UUUCUUAUUAUCUGUUCUUAUCAUGUUCUUAACAUCUCAUCAUUUUACUUUGUCUGGAACUGAAAUUAAUGACGAAUCUAAAUUCUGAAAGUAAACGAUUUUUUUAAUCAUGUCUAGUUGAGUCUGGAACUGAAAUUAAUGAUGAUUCUAAAUUCUGAAAAUAAACGAUUUUUUUUUAUUUUUUUUAUUUUUAUAUAUAAAAUCAUUCUAGUUGUCAGUUCACCCAUGCUCCAAGUAUCAUCUCCAAACAUCGAUUUAAUUAAAAGGAAAACAUGGUCCAGGUGAUUAUCAAUUGGGCCAGUUGAACUUGGAAUUUGAAAGUGGGAUUCAUUUGUUGAGGCUUUGAACAUUGAUUAAUCAGCAAGCUCAUUGGGUGACGUGUUUUACUUGGGUUGUCCUAGGUGCAGAUGACAUCAAGUGGUCUACUCAAAUCUAUACUGUUAAAAUCUUGCAGUUCGUACAUACACAGCACAGUCCUUUCUUUCAGAGAUAUAGUUGGGUGGACAUUCAAAACUGCUGUUUUUGUUUCAAACUGAGGAGAUUGGUAUAGGGAUUAAACUUAGGUCCCUAAGUUUAAAUGUUCUUGGGAAAAAUGGCUCUGCUCAAAUCGAAUGUGAGAUAAGAAGAAGAAACUUGGGUGGGAACCCAUCUAAAAUGGUUCUCAUUUCCUGGAGAACCUUUCUUUCCUCAUGAAAUCCAUUAUGUUGAAGAGUGGAAGCUUGAAGAAGAAGAACAAGAAGAAACUUGGAUCCCACCCAUCUAAUACGGUUCUCAUAUCCUGCAAAACCUUUCUUUCCUCAUGGAAUCCAUUAUGCCGAAAAGCAUAAUCUUGAAGAAGAAGAAGAAGAAACUUGGGUGGGAAUAAUGUAGGGGCAUUUUCACACCGGGCUUGAGUGGGGUAGCCCGUGGGAUGCGGGGACACACUUGGGGUGGGCAGCCCGUGUGAGGUGGGUGGCUCGUGAGAGAUGGGCCCCACCCGUGUGAGGUGGGUGGCUCGUGUGAGGUGAUACCCAUGUGAUUUGGGGCCCACGAGGGGGGUUCGGCCGAGGUCCUAACCCAUGAGAUGUGGAGCCUGGGCUAUGAGAUAAAGGGAUUGAUUCGCCAUGUUCUAACAGUUCGAGCUUUUAGAGCAAGUGGUUAAUUCAAGGAACCCAUCUAAUAUGGUUCUCAUGGAAUCCAUUAUGCCAAAAAGCAGAAACUUACAAUCUGGCGGCGAAGUAGAAGAGGAACCUUUCUCAUGGAAUCCAUUAUGAGCAGAAUCCAAAUAGGCCCUCAGUCACCAAAAGCAUUAAGAGAUUGGAAGCAACAAAUCAGCAAAUAAGCUAUUUCAAAGCAGUGCUGACACUCUAGCAAAAAAAUUUCUGCUUGUAUUAACAUGCAUUGAGAUUGCUACUUCUUCAACUUGAUUAGUUAAGGUGAAAAAUCGGAAACUUGGGAUCCCAUCUAAGAUGGUUUUCAUUUUCUGAAGAACCUUUCUUUCCUCACGGAAUCCAUUGUGCCGGGAAAAAAAAUGAACCAAUCGUGGUCUGCGGGGACAUCCAAACAAUGAUGCACGGACAUGUGAUGGCCUAACCCUAGAUGCAUGUAUGAUCAAAAUGAAGAGAUUCAAAUAAAUAAAUUAAUCAACUAACUGUUUUCAUUCAAAGGAAUUAGGCAAAUCUCAACACAUAGAUGAGAUCAUUCCGUCAGGAUCAUGCCCCUUAGCAUAAAAUCACGUAAACAUUAAAAAUGGAGGACCUAGGGAUAUGAUGAUAUCCCAGAUCUAGCAUAAGUCAACCCACAGUCAAGUUUGGAUCUGAUUCUCCUGACUAACAAUCCCUCUUUUCCGUUCAAACUAAAAGGGUAUAUCCAGAGAGGAACGAAAGGGAUGAAGAAGAGAGGUGGGUUCGAGAUGAGAGGGAGUACGAAUUCUAGGUCAUCAAAGAAAAAGACGAUUGAUACUUACCUUUUCCUGCACCUCGAAGAUCUAGAAAGAAGGAAACUUGAAACCGGGGCAGAAUCCUCAAAACACCCAAGGGUCAAUCCUGAAACCCUAAUCUCAUGAUAAAAGAGGUAGAAAACAUGCGAAUUUCUAUUCAUUCAAUAAUACUAAAAUAGGGUUUCUCACAAUGUAUAUAUAAGCCACGGAAAAAGUAAAAGUGCACUAAAGCCCCUGAAAACAAGGAACAUAACAAAAAAGACGAAAAAAGUAAAAACUACACUAAAACCUCUGGAAAAAAAAAGAA